GACGAACGCUGGCGGCGUGCUUACACAUGCAAGUCGAACGAUGAACCCGGAGCUUGCCCCGGUGGAUUAGUGGCGAACGGGUGAGUAACACGUGAGUAACCUGCCCUUGACUCUAGGAUAACUGCGGGAAACUGUAGCUAAUACCGGAUACGACCCUCGGCGGCAUCGCCAGGGGGUGGAAAGAAUUUCGGUCAAGGAUGGACUCGCGGCCUAUCAGCUAGUUGGUGAGGUAACGGCUCACCAAGGCGACGAAGGGUAGCCGGCCGGAGAGGGUGACCGGCCACACUGGGACUGAGACACGGCCCAGACUCCUACGGGAGGCAGCAGUGGGGAAUAUUGCACAAUGGGCGCAAGCCUGAUGCAGCAACGCCGCGUGAGGGAUGACGGCCUUCGGGUUGUAAACCUCUUUUAGUAGGGAAGAAGCGAAAGUGACGGUACCUGCAGAAAAAGCACCGGCUAACUACGUGCCAGCCGCCGCGGUAA
This 483-nucleotide ribosomal RNA is filed under the name uncultured bacterium. RNAcentral's name for it is "partial 16S ribosomal RNA". It matches the Rfam family "Bacterial small subunit ribosomal RNA", at positions 28 to 523 of the family's 1533-position model. The record is from RNAcentral.